AUUGAAGACUAACUACUGCGAAAGCAUUUGCCAAGGAUGUUUUCAUUAAUCAGGAACGAAAGUUAGGGGAUCGAAGACGAUCAGAUACCGUCGUAGUCUUAACCAUAAACUAUGCCGACUAGGGAUCGGACGAUGUUAUUUUUUGACUCGUUCGGCACCUUACGAGAAAUCAAAGUGCUUGGGCUCCAGGGGGAGUAUGGUCGCAAGGCUGAAACUUAAAGAAAUUGACGGAAGGGCACCACCAGGGGUGGAGCCUGCGGCUUAAUUUGACUCAACACGGGGAAACUCACCAGGUCCAGACACAAUGAGGAUUGACAGAUUGAGAGCUCUUUCUUGAUUUUGUGGGUGGUGGUGCAUGGCCGUUCUUAGUUGGUGGAGUGAUUUGUCUGCUUAAUUGCGAUAACGAACGAGACCUUAACCUGCUAAAUAGCCCGUAUUGCUUUGGCAGUACGCUGGCUUCUUAGAGGGACUAUCGGCUCAAGCCGAUAAAAGUUUGAGGCAAUAACAGGUCUGUGAUGCCCUUAGAUGUUCUAGCCGCACGCGCGCUACACUGACGAAGCCAGCGAGUACUUCCCUGGCCGUAAGGCCCCGGCUUCAUCUGAGUCGCCCCACCUA
RNAcentral lists this ribosomal RNA (615 nucleotides) under uncultured fungus. Its description in RNAcentral is "SSU rRNA". It matches the Rfam family "Eukaryotic small subunit ribosomal RNA", at positions 928 to 1573 of the family's 1831-position model. The record is from RNAcentral. Lineage: Eukaryota; Fungi.